GCGGGAAUUAGAAAAUUAGGUACGUAGUCUAUGGUGUGACUACUCUGUGGUUGCAACGUCACGCGGACGCCCAAUGAGAGCGCGUGAACGACCACUCCUCCCGACCGCCGCAACCUCGCGCGCCAGCGCAGCCAUUGCGAGCGGUGAGAGAGAGAGCGCCCCGACCACCGACGCGUACGGACGUGUUGAGAAAUCCUCCGCGGCUCUAUACCACGCCAUUGAUUAAUCUAGAACUUUCGAUUAUCCGCCAUUUUGUAUCAAGUAGUUUUGUGUUAAUUUUUGUCUCGUGUUCGGAACAUUAUGUAAAAUUAGUAAUAAAAGUGAUUGACUGUAAA
Spodoptera frugiperda (fall armyworm) is the source of this 335-nucleotide long non-coding RNA. RefSeq lists it as uncharacterized. NCBI's taxonomy places the organism in Eukaryota, Metazoa, Arthropoda, Insecta, Lepidoptera, Noctuidae. The record is from RefSeq and is a predicted model, not a curated record. The transcript is spliced from 2 exons.